RNAcentral lists this long non-coding RNA (894 nucleotides) under Sorghum bicolor (sorghum). RNAcentral describes it as "long non-coding RNA (SBIC_LNC008015)". The record is from RNAcentral. Lineage: Eukaryota; Viridiplantae; Streptophyta; Magnoliopsida; Poales; Poaceae.
GAAAAGUUUUUGGUUUUUAGUUGAACUAAACAAGGCCUAAGGCUAUCUCCAAUAGAAGAGGCAUUUGGGAACCCAAACCCAAAAUAGUUUUCCAACAUAAUACCUAUAGCCUUUAACAGAGUACCAUACAGAAGACCCAUUUUAGGUAUCAGGAGAGGCAUAACCCAAAUUUGGGUAUCCUCUCUCUUCGAGACCCAUUUGCAGAGAGUGUUGUCUUUUAGGUCUUGUUGUUGGAGAAAACUAAAAAUAGGUAUGGAACCUUUUACCUGUUGCGCUACCAAAGGACAAAUGGGUCUUGUAUUUUGGGUGACCAUUGUUGGAGACAGUCUAAGUCGUAGAGUCAGUGGUACGCGGGCGAUCAGAGCAUCUAGUUAGCGUGUGGACCAGUGGAAAACUCUACACGAAACUCCUGGGAAAGUCACACCUGUCGUAUCGAUGUUGAUGCACUUGACUGCAUUUUAGUGAUGCGCCAUACUUCAACAACCCGGCCCCUAUCUUCAAAAAUAUUCACUCCCACAAAAUAGAAUAUUCUUAAGAACCAAAAACCCUCAAGAAAACAAAAAAAACAUCAUGAAAAUCAUUCAUGACAGCCAACCCUAGAGGACCACCAAAAUAGUGAGGAAGGGAAAUUAAUUUUAUUAUUUGGGGCCGGUCACCACAAAUGAUAUCUUUCAAGGUCUGGCUGCCAAGAAAACAAAAAAAUAUCGGAUUUUUCACUAUGUAAAAAAAACACAUUAUAGACGCGCGUUCAGGCACAUCACAGAUACUUCUGCAUGUGUUUAUUGUGACGCGUGGUAACUAUACAUACACGUGUUACCAACGUGUGACUAUAAUAAUGGCGAAUACACGUUUGUGAUAAGCCCUUAUCAUAAGUACAUACACGUGUCAGCAGUG